AAUGUCCAUCUCCGGUUCAACAUAAGGCUUGAGCUCAUCUUCUUCAAAUCCUGCGUUGAUCCAUCUGUCCUUCAUGAUUUGCUGCGGGCAAAAGCAAGUAAGAACUUGACUGGGGAGAUAUUUACACGGGAAGGGAAAAGGCUGAGAACUUCCCCCUGUUGCUAAAUCAUCAUACUACGUGAGCAGCCGUCAGAGCGGAUGAGUGGGAAAACCUGUGUGUCCACAGUCAAACAGGAUGCAACACAUGGAUGACAGUGAAUUACUCAUAAGUUAAAAAUUAGACAAGGUGGGCUGAAGAGGAAAGGAGGUGGGCGUCACGGAAGCAUGACCACGAGAGAAUGCUGGGACCAGGUGAGAGGAAAAGGUCGGGUGCUGGACACGUGGGGGUAGAUGACGUGUCUUCGAUGAUGAGGAUGGGCUCGGGCGGGGUGUAUAAAACUGAGAAGUAUAUUUACAUUUUCUGCUUCCUCCCUCACCUCGAGAGUACCCCGCUUGGAAGGGUUGAGCACCAGGAAGCGUUUCAGGAGGUUCUCGCAGUCUGUGGACAUGUAGAAUGGGAUGCGGUAUUUUCCUCUCAGCACUCGCUCUCGCAGCUCCUGAAGAGCGAGAGGAAAGAUCUAAGUUAGCAAGACGCAAGAGUGGUGACAAAGUUUGGACCAAAAGGAAGUGUCCUUCCCCAUAAAGAACUAUCUAUGACCUAUCAUUUUAAUCUAAAACAUAUGCAUAUUCAGCACAGAAGUAAAAAAAAAAUGAAUACCUUGAGGUUCUGUCCAUCAAAGGGCAGCGACCCACUGACCAGCGUGUACAGGAUGACCCCCAGGCUCCAGACGUCUACCUCAGGGCCAUCAUAUUUCUUCCCUUGGAAGAGUUCCGGCGCUGCGUAGGGAGGUGACCCGCAAAACGUGUCCAACUUGUUACCCAGCGUAAACUCGUUACUGAAGCCGAAAUCAGCUAUUUUUAUGUUCAUGUCCGCAUCAAGGAGCAGGUUCUCCGCCUGAGGACACAAGAAGGUUGAGUGGUCUGUGUUUAGAAAUCUAUUCAUGAACAUAAAAAUGUGAUAA
Synchiropus splendidus (mandarinfish) is the source of this 1061-nucleotide long non-coding RNA. RefSeq lists it as uncharacterized. Lineage: Eukaryota; Metazoa; Chordata; Actinopteri; Syngnathiformes; Callionymidae. The transcript is spliced from 3 exons. The record is from RefSeq and is a predicted model, not a curated record.